GGCCAGCAAGCAGCACCCUCGAUGGCCUCUGCAUCAGCUCCCACCGUCAGGUUCCUGCCCUGUUUGAGUUCCUGUCCUGACUUCCUUCAAUGAACAGUGAUGAGGAAGUGUAAGUUGAAUGAACCCUUUUCUUCCCCAAGCUGCUUUUGUCAUGUGUUUCAUCAUAGAAGCAGUAACCUUAACUAAGACAUUUUCUCCUUUUGACAAGUGAGAUUAUGAAAUCACUCUGGAGAUUGCCUUGGACAAGAUUAUAAUGUAAUAAAGUAAGAACAAGAGGUGUCAGGGUUGUUCAAGGGAGUUAGGACAUAUCAUUUGCUGUCAACUGGGUUUCUGGUGAAAUUCCAAGAAAACCGCAAGUUUACUGCUGGGAGUGGAGAAAGGACUCAAACAAAUGUCAAUUGUUCUGAAAUUCUUGAACCUCAGCUGGCAAGAGGCUUCAACCACGCUCCUGGGGUGAGAACGUCUUUCCUUUUCCAUGUCCUCCUAACCUUCCUUAUCAAGCCUGCUCAGAACUUGCAGAAUUUCUUUCCAAAAUAGAUUUAAUUUGUUUCAUCUACCUAACUCCUAAGUCCCCAUCAACUUCAUCUCCAAUAACUUUAUUUAAUGUAAAAACUGGUGUGUAGUGUGUGUGUGUGUGUGUGUGUGUGUACACAUGUGCAUCAUGGUUCAUGUGUGGUCAGAAGACAAUUAUCGGGAGUCUGUUCUCUCCUUCCACCGUGCAAGUUCUGAGGCUUGAAGUCAUCACUCUGCAAGUACCUUUACCCACUGAACCACCUCCGUGGCCUCCUGGACUUUCGAGGUUUUGUAUGCCUUUUUUUUUAAUGGGGUCUUGCUAUGUAGCAAUCUUCUUGCCUCAGCUCUUCUACACUGUGAUUACAGCUGUGAGUCCCCUCACCUGUAUCUGGUUCCCUUUUUAAAGAGUAAGUGGGUGCUGAGGAGGUGGCGUAGCUGGAUCCCCAACACCCUUGUAACAGCCGUGUCUGUAACCCAGGGCUGGGAAGUGGAUACAGGAAUGCCUUGGGGCUCCUGAGCAAGCUAAUGGAGUCUAAUCGGUGAGUUCUAGGUGUAAUGAAACUCUAGCUCAUGACUUCAGGUGAUCGAAGGCUGGAGAGAUGGCUCAGCAGUUAAGAGUGCAUACUGCUCUUGCAGAGGACUGGAGGUCAGGCCCCAUCACCCACAGUGAGCAGCUCACAGCUGCCUGAAAUGUCAGCUCUAGGAGCGCCCAACCCUCUCGCCUCUGCAGGCUCUUGCACUCCUGCACAUGCCCCCCCCAUAUACACAUAUGUGCAUGGUUUAAAAUAAUAAAAUAAAAUGACUAUUUUUAUGUCAGCUUUUUAAGUUGGGUAUGGUGGCACACACCUUAAUCCCAGCACUCCAGAGUCAGAGACAGACAGAUCCCUGUAAGUUUGAGGCCAGCCUCAUCUACAUAUCAAGUUCCAGGCCAGCCUGCGAUACAAAGAGAAAGACUGUUAGAGAGAAAGAAAGAAAGAAAGAAAGAAAGAAAGAAAGAAAGAAAGAAAGAAAGAAAGAAAGAAAGAAAGGAAGGAAGAAAGAAAGGAAGAAAGAAAGAAACUAAGAGAUGGUGAGUGACAGAGAAAUACAUUCCCUCCAUAGGCACCUGCAAACACCUGUAUACCCACAGAACACACACACACACACACAGAGCCUCAGGCUUCAAAAAGCCUUUCAAUGUUUGCACACCUUCCUAUAAAGAGGCCAAGGUUUUGGAUGACUGGUCUCACUUUCCUUUACUUAACGUCUGGGUUGUCACAGUCUCACCAGGCUGGCUUUUUUCAUUUUUUCAGUUCUUCUUUCGGUAGCGAACAGAGAACAUUCCUGCUUGCUUCAAGCCUUUGCACAUAGGUCAUGUGUUCAGCUCUGAGCACUGCCUCUCACCCCCACCCCGCGCUGGACAAUCUCAUUUUCUGGGGCCUUAGCUUCAGUAACAGUUAAUUUUUCCAGUUUGUUUUGUUCUGCUUUGUUUGACUGUUUUUAAGGUAGGAUCUUACUAUGAAGCUUUUGCUGUCCUGGAACUCACUAUGUACAGACUGACCCUGAACUCAGAGGCCUGCCUGUUUCUACCUCCCGAGUACUGGGAUAAAAGUGCCAUGAUUUGCAACUAUGUACCAUGUACCGGUGUGACCGCUGGACUGGACUGCUAGCCACUCUGUCAGGGCCAAGGCGCAGCUCAGUCAGUGCACUGAAGCCCGGGGCCCUGUUCCCAGCAUCGCACACAACUGUGCAUGUCUGGAUUCCUAGCACUUGGAAGGUGGAGUCAGGAGGCUCAGAAAUUCCAGGAUACCCUCAGACAUGUCUGCAACCCGAGAUAAGGAGCAGGAACAGCUUAGAAGCCUUAAUGUCUCUGUUCACUCACCUGUGAGGAGUCUAAAAAGCAAGCCCAGAUAGCACCAGCUGUCUGGGAAAGGUGGUCUGAAGCUAUCUCUCCAUCCUGCGGAGCCAGCGAGGACAAAGCACCCAGGCUUUGUUGGAGCCCUGUCUGGGUGGGUCCUGUCUGUCUGGGUGGGCCCUGUAGCAAGCAACAGCAGUUAUCUAUUUCUCUUCUCC
Long non-coding RNA from Meriones unguiculatus (Mongolian gerbil), 2565 nucleotides. RefSeq lists it as uncharacterized. The record is from RefSeq and is a predicted model, not a curated record. The transcript has 4 exons. Lineage: Eukaryota; Metazoa; Chordata; Mammalia; Rodentia; Muridae.